GAGCAAUGAUGAAAGUUACGCUCUUGUGGUGAUUGGGUCGCCACAGUUUGCCCGAUCUUAAACGGACGAUAAUCAGCGUCUCUGAGUUC
Ipomoea triloba (trilobed morning glory) is the source of this 89-nucleotide small nucleolar RNA. RefSeq annotates it as small nucleolar RNA snoR114. The transcript has a single exon. Lineage: Eukaryota; Viridiplantae; Streptophyta; Magnoliopsida; Solanales; Convolvulaceae. The record is from RefSeq and is a predicted model, not a curated record.